RNAcentral lists this ribosomal RNA (618 nucleotides) under Salmonella enterica subsp. enterica serovar Infantis. Its description in RNAcentral is "partial 23S ribosomal RNA". It matches the Rfam family "Bacterial large subunit ribosomal RNA", at positions 593 to 1212 of the family's 2925-position model. Lineage: Bacteria; Pseudomonadati; Pseudomonadota; Gammaproteobacteria; Enterobacterales; Enterobacteriaceae. The record is from RNAcentral. RNAcentral also lists the same sequence under 40 other names.
GUGACUGCGUACCUUUUGUAUAAUGGGUCAGCGACUUAUAUUCUGUAGCAAGGUUAACCGAAUAGGGGAGCCGGAGGGAAACCGAGUCUUAAUUGGGCGUUAAGUUGCAGGGUAUAGACCCGAAACCCGGUGAUCUAGCCAUGGGCAGGUUGAAGGUUGGGUAACACUAACUGGAGGACCGAACCGACUAAUGUUGAAAAAUUAGCGGAUGACCUGUGGCUGGGGGUGAAAGGCCAAUCAAACCGGGAGAUAGCUGGUUCUCCCCGAAAGCUAUUUAGGUAGCGCCUCGUGAAUUCAUCUCCGGGGGUAGAGCACUGUUUCGGCUAGGGGGCCAUCCCGGCUUACCAACCCGAUGCAAACUGCGAAUACCGGAGAAUGUUAUCACGGGAGACACACGGCGGGUGCUAACGUCCGUCGUGAAGAGGGAAACAACCCAGACCGCCAGCUAAGGUCCCAAAGUCAUGGUUAAGUGGGAAACGAUGUGGGAAGGCCCAGACAGCCAGGAUGUUGGCUUAGAAGCAGCCAUCAUUUAAAGAAAGCGUAAUAGCUCACUGGUCGAGUCGGCCUGCGCGGAAGAUGUAACGGGGCUAAACCAUGCACCGAAGCUGCGGCAGCGAC